UGAGCAAUCUGCCCUUCUCAUCGGAAUAAGCGUUGGAAACGACGUCUAAUGCCGAAUACGACCUCCUUUCGCAUGAUCGGAGGUGGAAAGCUCCGGCGGAGAAGGAUGAGCUCGCGGCCUAUCAGCUAGUUGGUGUGGGUAAUGGCCCACCAAGGCGACGACGGGUAGCCGGCCUGGAGAGGGUGACCGGCCACACGUGGGACUGAGACACGGCCCAGACUCCGUACGGGAGCAG
This 235-nucleotide ribosomal RNA is filed under the name uncultured bacterium. RNAcentral's name for it is "partial 16S ribosomal RNA". It matches the Rfam family "Bacterial small subunit ribosomal RNA", at positions 118 to 347 of the family's 1533-position model. The record is from RNAcentral.